CCUUUUUCUACUUUCUUGUAGUUGCUAGAAACCGUUGGUAUUCCUUGGCUUGUAGGUGCAUCACUCCAAUAUCUGCCUCUAUUGUCACCUGGCAUUAUCUCUGUGUGUCUCUGUGUUCAAAUUUCCCUCUUCUUAUAAAGACGCUAGUCAUUGGGUUAGGGCCCAUUGUAAUCCAGGAUGGCCUCAUUAAUUUGAUUACACCUGCAAAGACCCUAUUUACAAAUGAGGUCAUAUUCAGAGAUACUAGGAGUCAGAAGUUUAACAUAUCUUUUUGGGGAUACAAUUCAACAAUUUUAACGCUUGCUGUAGCUUUAAAUGGAAGGGGUUUCAAAGUUCUUAGGAGUCCUUGUUUUUGUCUUCCCAGGUAUCUCUUGUUUUCUCUAACACCUCCUCUUAAAUAGAGACUGACCCUUGCAGCUCUUUCAGCUGUUAUCCAUUGUUAAUACGCUUGAGCCCUGGUGAUGCAGUGGGAAGAAGUGGGAGAGGAAAAACCUUCUAUGAUAUUAUGAUUACGUUUUAGUGUUUUAGUAAGUCUUUGUCUCUGAACUGCAACCUUCACAAGUGUUUCUUCAUCCUCUCCUGUCUUACACUUGAAAAAGGAAGCCUAGAAGAAGCUGGAGCCUGGGACAUACCUUUCCACCAGCUGAUAUAAGGCUCUUUUUUGCCGGAAGGGCUUUGUUAUAGAGAACACUCCCAGCAUAUUUCAAAAUGGCUACUUUCCUCUUUUCCUGCCAGAGGGAUGAGAAUAAAAUUUUUCUCUUGAUCGCAGCUUCAGGUUAUGCCUAAGAGUUCCAGCUUGUCUUUGCUGACGAUCUGCCCUAGAGAUCUCAGACUUGCGUAGACGGACCACGCAAUUAUCUUAGCCAGACCCAGCCCUGCAGUCGCCUUGAAAACCAGCAGCCAGGAAGCCAGUGAAGAGAGAAGAAUGGUGUUGGAGCCCCUUCAAAGCCCCAUCCCCAGAAAACUAUCGUUAUUUUACAUGGUUGGUGUUUCCAUGGAAGAUUCUACUCACAAGGCUGUCUUUAUCCUGAAUCAGAGCUCUCCCAGUGCAAAAAGCCUUUCCCCUGGGGGUGUUGGCCCCAAAAAUGUAUGCAGUUGUUUAAAAAUCUGGAUUUCUGUAUUGUAGGAUAAUGGAUAGGGCCAAAAAUAGGCUAAACAAAGGAAAAGCUGGGGAAUGAGAUGUACAUGAAACCUUGGAUAAACUAUGUCAUAUUCCUGAGAAUCUAGAAGGCUAUGCACGUGUGAAGGGCUAUGCACAGUCACAGAAGAGACCUCAUAGGCUCUCAGAGACUCUGUGCGAGCAGGAAAAUAAGGCUAGGAGGGAUCCUCAACUGCCUGAGUGCUGAAGGCGUGUCCCGACUCUCUCACAGAGCUCUCAGCAAAGACUGGGAGAUGCAUUGGUUCCAGACAUUUAAAAAAAACCUAUGUCCAAUCAUUCAUAGACCAAUGACCAAGCCUAUCAGUGACAUCAGUGGCCAUAAACAGCGACAUGAGGGGAAUAAUAGAGACAUCACAGAAUUUUUCAGAAAAGUAACUAAACAUGUAAACAACAAUGAACACCCCUGGGGAAGGGGGAGAACCUAUUUUCUAGAGCUUUGGCUUUAUUUUAAAUGUCCAGUUUAGAACAAUAGUAAAAAAAAAAUAUGAGAAUAAGAAGCAAGAAAACAUGGCUCAUGCACAGGAAAAAGGUCAUCAAUAGAAACUGUCAUUAAGGAAACCCAGACAAGGACUCGCUAGAAACAGAGUUCAUAUCAGUUAUUAAAUACGUUAAAGAACUAAAGGCAAUAAUAAGUGAUAACUAAUGGAAAGAAUGAAUAUAAUAUCUCAUCAAAUAGAUAAUAUGAAUAAAGAGAGAGACAUUAUAAAAUAGAACCAAACAAAAAUUUUGGCAAAUACCAAGGAGAACAGUUGCUGGAUUGGUAUAUAAGAUUAUAUCUAGUUUUAUAGGAAACUGCCAAACCGUCUUCUAAAGUGUCUGUACCAUUUUGCAUUCCCUCCAGCAAUGAAUGAGAUUUCCAGUCGCUACACGUGAACGACAACUAGUUUUGAAUUGUCUCAUUAUUUUAUAGGAUGGUUUUGAAGAUUUGAGGGAAAAGCAUCAAAUUGGUGGCCAAGCUUCUAUGCCCCUCUUCCCAUUUUCUGGGGCAGUGAAAGGAAGUAUCUUGCUCUUUCAUAUGCUGUUUUAAUCCAUUAGACAUUGUUUUGCACUAAGAAACUUAAAAAUAGGAAGCAUGUUGGAAGAUUAUUCAGUCAAAAUAGCUAAAUAAAAACAUAAGUAAAUAUAAAGCACUUGAACAUUAUAGUCAGUGUUCAGUGAUCUAUUUCUCUCUCUUCUUAUCUGUAAUAUGGUGACAUAUUUGUGUCUCAGCAGAGGUCUGUUGUAAGGAAUCUCGGACCAAUUGCCCAAUGCUCAUUUUUAUGUGUUAUAAAUGUCAUAAUUAUUAUGUUCUAUUUUAAUAAAUAAAUUUUGCAAGAUAGAUAUUCUCAGUCCUAUUUAGAGAUAAAGAAUCUGGGGCUUAGAAACUUAAGAUGCUUUCCCAGGUUACUAGAAAUUAACAGAAAUUGAUUUAUUUUUCCUGGAGAAACAAGAGGCAGUACAGCAUUCUGUGAGUUUUCAGAAGAGUUAAAAUUUCGAAAGGGAACUUAUCUGAUGCUAGGAGUGGGUGCAUGACAGAAAUUCGAGUGCAUGCUCUAUCUAACCAUAAAUCUUUGUAAUGCUAUGCUGCCACACUAUAUUGCUCGAUAUUAAUUAUUAAUGUUCUUGUCCAUCUGCCCCACUAAAUUUUGAGCACCUACAGGUUUAAAACCACGUAUAGUUCAAUUAUUCUUCAAAUCUUAGAGCCCGUAGCAUGGAGUUCAAUUUCUGGUGCUUAAUCCAUAUUUUAUUUAUUAACAGAGUUAAUGAAGGGGCUUAUAAAUUCAAAUUCCUAUAGAAUAGUAACAGAAACAUGAUACAAGUUAACUGAAUAUUUGGCAUCUAACUUGUUGAAUUGGACGAAAGUGCUUCUCUAGUAUAUUCAUUAGCAUGAUGGAUUAUCUAUGUAUUACAUAUGUAUAUAUGGUAUAUAUUUAUAUAUGAUAUAUAUAUCAUAGAGAUACCAUUUAUGCAUGUAUGUAUAUAUACACAUAUAUAUGCACCAUAUGUAAUAUGUAUAUGCACAUACAUUAUAUUUAUAUAUGAUACAUACUUCACUGGAAAAUGUAGACUGCAAACUGCCAUAUGAAGACAAGAAAGGAACGUUCGUAACAAUUGAGUCGGUUAUGGAGCUUGUAUCUCGUGAUCCUGCUGAGUCCAUCGUUCUAGGAGAGCUGCUUUCCUGCUGAGACAGGAGUGCUUGUGCACCCACGCCUAGGCUUGAAGA
Molecule: long non-coding RNA, 3362 nt
Filed under: Equus caballus (horse)
Lineage: Eukaryota; Metazoa; Chordata; Mammalia; Perissodactyla; Equidae
Description: lncRNA (ENSECAG00000047649.1)
Source: RNAcentral